UACACACCGCCCGUCACACCAUGGAAGUUGGGGGCGCCCGAAGCCGGUUAGCUAACCUUUUAGGAAGCGGCCGUCGAAGGUGAAACCAAUGACUGGGGUGAAGUCGUAACAAGGUAGCCGUAUCGGAAGGUGCGGCUGGAUCACCUCCUUU
RNAcentral lists this ribosomal RNA (151 nucleotides) under Paraclostridium bifermentans. RNAcentral's name for it is "partial 16S ribosomal RNA". It matches the Rfam family "Bacterial small subunit ribosomal RNA", at positions 1384 to 1533 of the family's 1533-position model. Lineage: Bacteria; Bacillati; Bacillota; Clostridia; Peptostreptococcales; Peptostreptococcaceae. The record is from RNAcentral.